AAAUUGAAGAGUUUGAUCAUGGCUCAGAUUGAACGCUGGCGGCAGGCCUAACACAUGCAAGUCGAACGGUAACAGGAAGCAGCUUGCUGUUUUGCUGACGAGUGGCGGACGGGUGAGUAAUGUCUGGGAAACUGCCUGAUGGAGGGGGAUAACUACUGGAAACGGUAGCUAAUACCGCAUAACGUCGCAAGACCAAAGAGGGGGACCUUCGGGCCUCUUG
This 220-nucleotide ribosomal RNA is filed under the name Escherichia coli. RNAcentral describes it as "partial 16S ribosomal RNA". It matches the Rfam family "Bacterial small subunit ribosomal RNA", at positions 1 to 217 of the family's 1533-position model. The record is from RNAcentral. Lineage: Bacteria; Pseudomonadati; Pseudomonadota; Gammaproteobacteria; Enterobacterales; Enterobacteriaceae.